Molecule: small nuclear RNA, 20 nt
Filed under: Arabidopsis thaliana (thale cress)
Lineage: Eukaryota; Viridiplantae; Streptophyta; Magnoliopsida; Brassicales; Brassicaceae
Description: snRNA_04565
Source: RNAcentral
UGGCGGCCUAAGCCCGGGCU